CCUACGGGAGGCAGCAGUGAGGAAUAUUGGUCAAUGGGCGCGAGCCUGAACCAGCCAAGUCGCGUGAGGGAAGACGGCCCUACGGGUUGUAAACCUCUUUUGCCGGGGAGCAACGGGCGCACCGGUUGGCGCCCCGGAGAGUACCCGGAGAAAAAGCAUCGGCUAACUCCGUGCAAGCAGCCGCGGUAAUACGGGGGAUGCGAGCGUUAUCCGGAUUUAUGGGGUUUAAAGGGUGCGUAGGCGGAGCGUUAAGUCAGUGGUAAAAUUGAGGGGCUCAACCCCUUCCCGCCAUUGAAACUGGCGCUCUUGAGUGGAAGAGAAGUAUGCGGAAUGCGUGGUGUAGCGGUGAAAUGCAUAGAUAUCACGCAGAACCCCGAUUGCGAAGGCAGCAUGCCGGCUUCCUACUGACGCUGAAGCACGAAAGCGUGGGGAUCGAACAGGAUUAGAUACCCGAGUAGUC
RNAcentral lists this ribosomal RNA (460 nucleotides) under uncultured bacterium. Its description in RNAcentral is "partial 16S ribosomal RNA". It matches the Rfam family "Bacterial small subunit ribosomal RNA", at positions 338 to 795 of the family's 1533-position model. The record is from RNAcentral.